This is a long non-coding RNA of Patella vulgata (common limpet), 1397 nucleotides long. RefSeq lists it as uncharacterized. The record is from RefSeq and is a predicted model, not a curated record. Lineage: Eukaryota; Metazoa; Mollusca; Gastropoda; Patellidae. The transcript is spliced from 6 exons.
CAAAGUAUGCAGAGAAAACAAGAAUAUGAGGACGUAUGGUUUUGGCGGGCAAACUGGAGAUUAAACAAUAAAUUUCGAGGUAUUUGAGAUUGCAGUAGAUUUUAGCUAUAUGAUGCAGCGAUAGUGCAGUCUAAUUGCUUUAAAAGGAAAUCUGAAUUGGGACAAAGACCAACAAUAAAAUCAAGUUUCAAUAUUAGAUGACAUAGCAAAUCACCAAGGAAAAGAUCAUACAUGUGUAUAAUAAGAUAAGUAAAAAAACACAAAAAAAUGGAAGAAGUAAGAGCUGAAAUGAUAAUUAGAGCACAUGAUUUCUGCUCGGUGUUUUGGAGGGUUAACCACAUUGGAAAGAUCCAGAGAGUUGGAAAUAGAUAUUCUCGUGGAAACGUUUUCUCGCAGACCUUGAUAAUCAGGCAAAAUAAUCUUGGAAGAGUAUGUAUGAUAACAACGAGAGAACCCAACCACACCUUUUGAAUAUUACACCAUCAAUUUAAUUCUGGAAAAGAAUGCAUUUGAACCAUUUUUGUUUCAUUCUUUUUUUUUGUGUUUAAUGUUAAAUAUAUCCGAACACAAUUAUAUUUUAAUUCUCUCCAGAAAUUUGUGUAUAAUAAAGAAGGUAGAAUUUGGUCGUAAAUCAUAAAGUAUCUAAUAGGCAUUUCUGAAAACAAAAUGUAGAUCAAAUAUAACCGAAUUACAAAAAACCCUUUACAUUGCUUAUGAGAUCAAAUAGGUUUUAAUAUCCUAGUUUUCUGUGUUAUUAAUUCUGCCCUUCAACCUACUCUUAUAUCAAAUAUUUCAACUGUCAAGGGUUCUUUUAACCGAACCCAGGGGGGGGGGGGAGGCGAAUGGUUAACACGCGCAAAUUGGAUCGGAAGGUCUGUCAUUGAGUCAAAUAAUUCAAUUGUCACGGGUUCUUCAAACUGAACGCAGUGGGGAUGGUUUUGAUCCGGACUUGUACCCAAUUGACCCAGCUUGUGUCGUGUGGACACUAAACCUCAUUUGCCGCUCUCUCUUUAAAAUCCAGACGAAAUUUCUAGGCCAAAGCCUUAUACUCACAGUGCCCCCCCCCCUCCCUGCUUAUGACUUGUAAUUGUAUAUAAAUAUUUUGUACAUAUUAAUUAAUAUUUGCCAUUUUCUCUGAUAUUUUUAUAUUUUAAUCCUGCAAUCUUGAUGCUUUGCUCCUUUUAUGUACAAAAUAUUCAUUUUGUUGGUCUUUUUUUUAAUAAGGAAAGGGUUCUACAUCAUUUUAUUACUCCUGCAAAAUAGUGCAUAAUUUAUCUUAUUAGUGCUUGGUUUGGAUGUUAUUAAAUUUAGAUAUAUUUGAAUUAUAUAUUUUUUGGGUGUGGGGUAGGGAUACUGUGUACAUGUCUUUAUAUUCUCAGUACUUGUUUUAGGAUAAA